GCUGGGUGUGGUGGCACACACCUGUAGUCCCAGCAGCUCAGGAGGCUGAGGCAGGAGGAUUGUGAGUUCAAAGCCAGCCUCGACAACUUAGCAAGACCCUUAGCAACUUAGUGAAACCCUGUCUCUA
RNAcentral lists this small RNA (127 nucleotides) under Marmota monax (woodchuck). The record is from RNAcentral. Lineage: Eukaryota; Metazoa; Chordata; Mammalia; Rodentia; Sciuridae.